RNAcentral lists this ribosomal RNA (491 nucleotides) under Pseudomonas sp. R2_30. Its description in RNAcentral is "bacterial SSU rRNA". It matches the Rfam family "Bacterial small subunit ribosomal RNA", at positions 14 to 500 of the family's 1533-position model. Lineage: Bacteria; Pseudomonadati; Pseudomonadota; Gammaproteobacteria; Pseudomonadales; Pseudomonadaceae. The record is from RNAcentral.
UGAUCCUGGCUCAGAUUGAACGCUGGCGGCAGGCCUAACACAUGCAAGUCGAGCGGUAGAGAGAAGCUUGCUUCUCUUGAGAGCGGCGGACGGGUGAGUAAUGCCUAGGAAUCUGCCUGGUAGUGGGGGAUAACGUUCGGAAACGGACGCUAAUACCGCAUACGUCCUACGGGAGAAAGCAGGGGACCUUCGGGCCUUGCGCUAUCAGAUGAGCCUAGGUCGGAUUAGCUAGUUGGUGGGGUAAUGGCUCACCAAGGCGACGAUCCGUAACUGGUCUGAGAGGAUGAUCAGUCACACUGGAACUGAGACACGGUCCAGACUCCUACGGGAGGCAGCAGUGGGGAAUAUUGGACAAUGGGCGAAAGCCUGAUCCAGCCAUGCCGCGUGUGUGAAGAAGGUCUUCGGAUUGUAAAGCACUUUAAGUUGGGAGGAAGGGUUGUAGAUUAAUACUCUGCAAUUUUGACGUUACCGACAGAAUAAGCACCGGCUAA